This is a long non-coding RNA of Lotus japonicus, 2914 nucleotides long. RefSeq lists it as uncharacterized. Lineage: Eukaryota; Viridiplantae; Streptophyta; Magnoliopsida; Fabales; Fabaceae. The transcript is spliced from 2 exons. The record is from RefSeq and is a predicted model, not a curated record.
CACCCAGACCCCACCACUACUCACUCCUUUCUCUCUCACGCACUUCUCAUCUCUGGUUCACCUCACUCACGAUUCACGAACGCUGAACGCACCAGUCCACCAAUCCACCACAGCACCACCGGCUGGCCGCACAACGCACCACCGCUGCCGGCCACCACCUUGACACCGUCCAUCUCUGCUGUAGGUUAGUUAAUAGUUAGGUUUAGGUAUUGGAAAACCCCAAAAUUGAAAACCCCAAAAUUGAAAACCCAAAAAUUGAAAACCCAUUGAUCUGUAGUUUAUUGCCUUGAUCUGAAGUUGCCGAUCAUUAAUUGUCCACCCCUGUUUCUGAAUUCUGAUGGUUGUUCCUUCCUCUGCUCUUUUUUCCCUUUUGCUGCUUUGUUCCCUUUUUUCUUGCUGUUUUGUUUUGCUUUCCCUUUUGCUGAAUUUAGUUUGUGCAUAAGAAAUUGUACUGAAAUGAGAUUGGGUUUUACAUGAGAGUGACAUAUUCCAUCAAUUUUACUCCUAAUUGGUUUGAGAUUGGUUUGUGAUUAUGUGAAGGGAAGGGAAGGGAAAUGGUUUGAUCUUUAAUUUAGCAAUUGCUGAUGUAGUAACUGGUUUGAUUUAGUAACUGGUUUUAUAUCUGAGAUUGAAAUUGUUUAAUUUAGUAAUUGUUAUGAGAAUUGAGAUUGGAAUGUGAAGGGAAAUGUUUUCAGAUUGCUCAAGUCUGUCAUGAAUGCCAUCAAUGAUAACAAGUUUUUAUAUUUUAAUGGUAGCAGCUGCAGUUUGAUUACUAAAUGUAUAUUGGACUCCUAGUCCUAGCUACAAUUUAUAUUUUAGUAUUUAUGUGUGCCACAUGAUAGUUCCUGACUUCCUGCAAAAGUAGAAAUCAAGACAAAAGCAACUAUUUAUUCUUUUUUCUUAUGGCAGUAAUUGGCAAAUAUGAUUUGUAUUUAACUUCAUGUUUAUUGCUACAGUGCUACCAAGAGUAUGAUCUUAAGGUAUGUGACAACUACUGGAAAUUUAAGUUUCUAUGUUUCUUUUCUCCUUAAUUUGCUUAGCUGUUUCAGAAUUGGAUUUAUUAUGUCCCACAGUAAUAAUAUUGCUGCAGCUAGCCAGCUACACUUUCAUGCUUACAAUUGAAUCACAGAUAUUUCAACCUUUGAGGAUGUCGCGACUCAUGAGUUUAAUCCCUAUAACUUCAUGAGUUUGAAAAUUUUGAACCCCCUGACCCCGGGGUCCUGGAUCCGCCACUGGAUGGUUGAGGCCUAAACGAUGGUCGGUGGUGGUUGUAGUCUGAGGUGUGGAAAUUCUAUGAGAGGUGUGGCUAGACUAAUGUUGAAGAUGGGGGCUUGCGGCGAACCUCACAAAUCCUACAGAAAUGGCCGCUAACCUCAGGUAUUGUGAAAUGCUCCACUCUCUGGCAACUUACAAUCGGUUACAGCCGAUGCUAUGGUGAUUGGUGAUUUUUGCCUCCACCGCAACUGGCGGUAAACAUGCAACUGUGGUUGUUGCUUUAGUCGGUGAUUUUAGCGUCGGCUUAAGUCGACUCUAAUUUGCAAAAAGUCAACUCUUACUUGUGUCAGCUAGGUCGACACUAUGUUGAAACGAGUUUUCUUAGUUUCUGAUGACUUACGCCGAUUUUGCAUUGGCUAAGCCAAAGCUACUGUGUUGAGCGCUACUUUCUGUGUCGAGCGCUAUUGAAGUUUUAGGCACUUAACACCAAGGGAAAAAAGAUACAUGGGUGUGGACUUUGGAAGGCGAUGGCCAUUACUCUGUAAAGUCUGCUUAUGAUCUUAUCUCUGGCUUGGAUACUACAGUUGGUGUAACAGUAUUCAGCAAAUUAUGGAAGGCGUGUGCACCUUCGAAUGCGGUGGCAUUGGGCUGGCGUGUACUCUUAGAUAGAUUACAGACAAAGGAAAAUUUAGCCCGAAGAAAUAUCCCAACUGGCAAUCUUUCCUGCCCUUGGUGUGGUUCAAAAACAAAAUCUACUUCUCAUCUGUUAUUCACGUGUGGUUUUGCGUGGAAGGUAUGGACUUUGCUGCUUCGCUGGCUAAAUUUGGUGCUGGUGCUCCCUGAUGAACCGAGUUAUCAUUUCACCCAAUUCGUGGAAAGCUGUUCUUUGUUGAAAAGAAAGGCAUUAUCAGCUGUGUGGUUGGCUUCAGUGGGGGUGUUAUGGAAUGGAAGAAAUUCAAUCAUCUUUAGGGAGGAGACAGUGGAUAUUUCAGACUUGAGUGAAAGGAUAAAAUUAAAAUCAUGGAAUUGGCUCAGGGCUAGGCAGCAUGAAUUUCAAUACUCUUUUUUUGAGUGGUGUAAUGAUCCUUUGCUUUGUCUACCUUAAUGGAUAGGUUUUAUUAUUGUAGAUAUCUGUGGGUGGUAACUGGUAUUGGAGGCUUGUUUUCCAUUGCAAACUGUGGCCGCUGAAAAUUAUUGUUGGUUGGUGGGAAUACUUGUGCUUUAUAAUUCAGAGUUUGUGGCUUUGGAUUAAAGUAAGAGGCGUUGCUUGUUGAGUCUCUGUCUCUGGUCUGAUAUGGAAAUUGGAGGGUGGCUGUAAUUGCUACUUGAUGAAUCUAAUUUGGUUCUUAAGACAAACUUGAUUUAUCUGGUUGCAUGCUACUCAUGGAGAUUCUCAUGAUGAAGGAUUAAGUAGUCUUUGCUCAUGUUCAUUGAGAAGGAACUUGAAGGAAUUUUCUGCCUCCUUCAUGUUUUUGAAGGCUAUUGUUUAGAAUGCAGGAAUUGUACUGUAUUAGUCCCUAUGAUAUUCUAUAUUGUCCUCCUUGGAGACUUCAUCUUGAUUAUUGAAUUCAUGUACUCUUUUUCCUUCAUCAGGUUUUCCCAAGGGGUUUUUUCUGGUAAGGUUUUAACGAGACAUGUAUUCUCUAAUCUGUCUCUAAGGAGGUGGUGGGUGGUGGUGGGUUUUUUAGUGGUAGGAGGU